Molecule: ribosomal RNA, 1522 nt
Filed under: metagenome
Description: bacterial SSU rRNA
Rfam family: Bacterial small subunit ribosomal RNA
Source: RNAcentral
AGAGUUUGAUCCUGGCUCAGAACGAACGCUGGCGGCGUGCUUAAUACAUGCAAGUUGUGCGAGAAAGUAUUCUUCGGAAUAUUAGUAGAGCGGCGAACGGGUGAGUAACACGUAAAUAACCUGCCCUUAAAUCUGGAAUAACCCUGCCAACGUGGGGCUAAUACCGGAUGUGAUCUAGACACUUCAUGGUGUUUGGAUUAAAGGUGACCUCUUCUUGAAAGUUACUGUUUAAGGAUGGAUUUGCGGACCAUUAGCUAGUUGGUGAGGUAACGGCUCACAAAGGCGACGAUGGUUAGCCGACCUGAGAGGGUGAUCGGCCACAUUGGGACUGAGAUACGGCCCAGACUCCUACGGGAGGCAGCAGUAGGGAAUUUUGCGCAAUGGACGAAAGUCUGACGCAGCAACGCCGCGUGAGCGAUGAAGGCCUUCGGGUUGUAAAGCUCUGUUGGGUAGGAAGAAAAGCUAUAAGGUUAAUACCCUUAUAGUAUGACGGUACUACUCGAGGAAGCUCCGGCUAACUACGUGCCAGCAGCCGCGGUAAUACGUAGGGAGCAAGCGUUGUUCGGAAUCACUGGGCGUAAAGGGAGCGCAGGCGGAAAGGUAAGUUAGGAGUGAAAUACAUGGGCUCAACCCGUGGCACUGCUCUUAAUACUGUCUUUCUUGAGUAUGGGAGAGGGCGAUGGAAUUCCAGGUGUAGCGGUGGAAUGCGUAGAUAUCUGGAAGAACACCAGUUGCGAAGGCGGUCGCCUGGCCCAAUACUGACGCUGAGGCUCGAAAGCUAGGGGAGCGAACAGGAUUAGAUACCCUGGUAGUCCUAGCCGUAAACGAUGGACACUAGUUGUUGGAGGAGUCAAUCCCUUCAGUGACGUAGUUAACGCAUUAAGUGUCCCGCCUGGGGAGUACGCUCGCAAGGGUGAAACUCAAAGGAAUUGACGGGGGCCCGCACAAGCGGUGGAGCAUGUGCUUUAAUUCGAUGCAACGCGAAGAACCUUACCUGGAUUUGACAUGGGGAUGAAAACCUUUAGAGAUAGAGGUCCUCUCUUCGGAGACAUUCUACACAGGUGCUGCAUGGUUGUCGUCAGCUCGUGUCGUGAGAUGUUGGGUUAAGUCCCGCAACGAGCGCAACCCCUGUCCUUAGUUGCCAUCAGGUAAUGCUGGGAACUCUAGGGAGACCGCCUGGUAUAACCAGGAGGAAGGUGGGGAUGACGUCAAAUCAUCAUGGCCCUUACGUCCAGGGCUAGACACGUGCUACAAUGGCUGGUACAAUGGGCUGCAAACCUGCGAAGGUAAGCCAAUCCCUUAAAACCAGUCUCAGUCCGGAUUGGAGUCUGCAACUCGACUCCAUGAAGUUGGAAUCGCUAGUAAUCGCGGAUCAGCAUGCCGCGGUGAAUACGUUCCCGGGCCUUGUACACACCGCCCGUCAAGCCAUGAAAGACGGUAGUGCCCGAAGUCGCUCCUCUAACCGUAAGGAAGAAUGCGCCGAAGGUAAGGCUGUUGAUUGGGGCUAAGUCGAAACAAGGUA